UUUUGAUCUCCCAUCUAGCCAGCCAUCUUCAAAGUGGGAUAUUUUUUCUUGUUGCGAUUUCACUCUAUAAAUCUCACCACUGAUCAAUCUUCGCAAUCGAUUUUACUUGUUACUAGAACUAAACACGAGAUAAAGAAUUUGCAGAAAGUAAAUAGCACAAGAGAUUUAUCCAGUUCGGAAGCUAAACCGCUACCCUACGUCUGGCCGAGGAUUUCUCGGAAUUCACUAAGCACCACCGUACAAACGUUCUUUCUCUCACCGGAAAACCCCGAGAAACAAUUUCACUCACCGGAAAAUCUCUCUUCUGUUUUCCCUCAAUUAUAAUUGUUCUCUCUCUAGGAUACAACUGAAUCUCUCUCUCUAGCUCUCGUCGUUCACCGAUUACAGUAAUACAAGUCCAAUUUCUGAAUCUAACAACCUCUAACUGAUUCAGCGAUUGAGCUCACGCGCUAACGGUCUGGACUGAGCUCGAGAAGAUAUUUUCCUCAUCAAGAAGACGACUGCUUACGACGACGUUUGCACUUUAAUCGAACCCACAUUAAACAGAAAUCAAACCUCCUGAUUUCUGCAUUGGUUCAGAUCAAGUUCCUAAACUGGAACCUUCUACUUCAGCUAGCUGGUUUUGUUGACCAAUACAUCCGACAAACCCCACCUUGGUUGACAAACCAACUAGCCUCCUUGUGCACAGUAAAUUCCGACCUCGAUUUCUCUCCGAUCAAGCUUCAGAGACGCCAAGCAAGCUUAUCAGCUGCUUGAACAUACCAACCUCCAAUACUUUCGUGAAGAUAUCCGCAGGGUUCUCAAUAGUAUGUAUUUUUGAAACCUGUACUUCAUCUUCACCCUUUCUCUUACAAAGCUCAGUUUCACCGCCAUGUGUUUUGUACAUUCAUGAUGAACAUUGUUCUUUGCUAAUGCCAAAGCACUCUGAGAAUCACAAAAAAUCUCCACCCACUCUUGAGAGUAACCAAACUCACUGCUUAAACCUCUCAACCACACGGCUUCUUUUGCAGCUUCUGUCAUCAAGACAUAUUCGGAUUCUGUAGUGGACAAUGCUACCACCUUUUGAAGACUUGAGUUCCAGCUAAUGACACUCCCACCAGAGACAAAAGCAUAACCUGAUAUAGAUCUUCUCCGAUCUAAAUCCACUGCAUAAUCCGAAUCACAGAAUCCACAAACUUUGAAAUCUGAAACAUUUCUUAUACACCAAACUCAUUCCUUUAGUCCCUUUAACAUAUCUCAGAAUCCAUUUAACAGCCACCCAAUGCACCUUAACUAGAUUAUUCAUGAACCUACUCACCAAUCCAACAGGAUAUGAAAGAUCCGGUCUAGUACCUAUCAUUCCAUACAUCAAACUACCGACUGCAUUACAAUAAGGAACUGACCUCAUGUACUCUGAAUCUGCUUUAAUCUCCUUCUUUGUUGCAGAUGCGAGUUUGAAAUGAGCUCCAAUAGGUGUGUUUACCGCCUUGGCUUGAUCCAUAUUAAAGCUCUUAAGAACUUUCUCCAUGUAAUUCUCCUGAGACAAUCUUAAAGUUCCCACUUUCCGAUCUCUAAUGAUAUCAAUACCAAGAAUCUUUCUUGCAGCUCCAAGAUCCUUCAUCUCAAACUUUGAGCUGAGCUGAUCCUUUAGAGAUUUAAUAACCCUCAUAUCCUUGCAAGCCACCAGCAUGUCAUCUACGUACAGCAAGAGAUAGACAUAUAAGCCUGAAACACAUUUGAUGUAUACACACUAGUCAUGAUCGCUUCUCUUGAAGCCAAUCUCCAUCAUAAAUGUGUUGAACUUCUGGUUCCACUGUCUUGGACUCUGUUUUAGUCCAUACAGCGACUUCCUCAACAGACAUACGAGACCUUCCUUGCCCUUCUCAAUAUAUCCCUCCGGUUAGUCCAUGUAGAUUUCUUCUUCCAAGUCUCCGUGUAAGAAGGCCGUCUUCACAUCUAAUUUCUCAAGCUCCAUGUUCUCAUUUAUGAAAAUAGACAUCAAGUAUCGAAUUGAUACAUGCUUGACAACCGGAGAAAAAAUCUCGUUGUAAUCCACACCCUCCUUCUGAGCAUAUCCUUUUGCCACGAGCAUAGCUUUAUAACGGGGUUCUUCUACCCCUAGAAUGCCCGGUUUCCUCUUAAAGAUCCAUUUGCAGCCUAUUACCUUUCUUCCUUUUGGCCUAUUAACCAGCGACCAAGUAGAGUUCUUAGGAAGAGAAUCCAUUUCUUCAUCAGAAGCCCUUUUCUAAUUCUUGCUUUCAAGAUCUCUCAUUGCAGCUUUAAAGUCUGUAGGCUCAACUGGAUCUCCAUCCUCGGAUGCAAGUAAAGCCAUGUGGACAAACUCAUCAUCGUACCUUUGAGGAGGCCUGAUAUUGUCUCGUCUUUGUCUGUCACGAGCCAACCUAUAACCAUCGGUCUCUGGCUCAGGAUCAGUAUUACUUCCUGAUACAUCACCUUCACUGUCAAUGUUCACUACAUCUGAACUAGACUCACCACCUCCUCUUUGAGUUCCACCUCGAGUCUCUCCCCCUGAGCUAGUAUCUAUUGUUGAUGAAAUACCCAGCUCCACGUCCAGAAAGGCAAUUUCUCUUUCCCUCGAUACACCGUUUUGUUUCAUCAGAUCUUUGUAGCAUUCAUCUUCUUUGAAUGUUACAUUCCGACUUACAAUGCAUCGUUUGUCCUCUAAAGACCAAACUUUGCAGCCCUUCACACCUGUAGGAUACCCUAUAAAGAUACCCUUCCUUGCUCUCGGUUGAAGUUUCCCUUCAUCAGAGUGAAAGUAACAGACACAACCGAACUUCCUUAGGUGUUGAAAAUUUGGAGUAGUCCUAGACCACACCUCUUCUGGAAUGCGUCCCUGAAUGGCUGAAGAAGGGGUUCUGUUUAUCAAAUACACAGCCGUAUUCACAGCUUCUGCCCAAAACACUUUAGGUAGACCUGAUUCACAUAAUACACUCCUCACACGCUCAAGAAUGGUUCUAUUUAUCCUCUCUACCACACUGUUUUGUUGUGGUGUGUGAGGUAUGGUCAUGUGCCUCGAUAUACCAUUUUCUGUGCAGAAACUAUCAAACUCAUUAUUGCAGAACUCCAGUCCAUUGUCAGUCCUAAGCUUCUUCACUUUCAAACCAGACUGAUUUUCCACCAGUGACUUCCAUUCCGUGAAUUUCUCAAAUGCUUGAUCUUUAGUCCUUAGAAAAUAAACCCACACCUUUCUCAACCAGUCAUCAAUAAGACUCAGGAAGUAGUGACACUUACCGAGAGAUUGAAGGACUGAGGGAUACCCCCACAGAUCUGCAUGAACAUAUUCCAAACCAUUCUUGCUCGUAUGCUGACCUGAAGUGUAGCUCUUCCGAUGAGCUUUACCAAAUACACAGCUUUCACAAAACUGAAUACUUGACACCUUUGACUUAUGUAGAUAGCCUCUCUUCACCAUGAUAUCAAGGCCUUUAUGACUGAUGUGUCCUAACCUACUAUGCCAGAGGUUAGUAUCAUCUUUAAUAGCCAUCGAAUGGACUUCUCCAACGUGACUACUUCCCUGCAGGAAAUAGAGCUUAUGUGUUCUCUUUGCCGUUAAGACUGUCCUGCCAGAUUUCUUGACCUGAAGGAUACCGUUUUCUGAAGAGAAAAUACAUCCCUGCUCUUCAAACGAACCCAGAGAUAGUAAGUUCCUUGAGGAAUCAGGCACAUACCUGACCUCCUUUACCAAAACAUAUAUGCCUUCUGCAUUCUUCAGACGUAUGGUUCCAAUUCCCAUAACCGUAGAUACGGUUUCAUUAGCCAUCCUCACAGAUCCUGCAGUGAACUCCUCAAGUUCAAUAAACCAGUCUCUCCUCGGGGUCAUAUGGAAAGUGCAGCAUGUGUCCAAGAUCCAGAUUUUCCUGAAGUUGCAGGCCUCAACCACAUUCACUUCUGACACCAUUAGAGAUUCUAUAAACUGAAUCUCGGUUACUGCAGAUGAUUCCCCUGUCACUUGUCCUUUAUUCUUGUUCUGAUGUCCAGUCUUCUUGGGACAGUCUUCCUUGAAAUGUCCCUCACCACCGCAAAUGCAGCAAGUAUAUGCACCGCAUUUGCCUUUGCUUUUCUUGGAUUUGCUUUUUGAGUCCUUACUUGUAUUUGAGUCCUUAGAUGCCUUUCCUUUGAUAUUUGAAUUUGAAUACAACACCUUUCCUUGUGGUUUUACCACCUUUCCACUAGCCAACUCAAGUUGUUUCGAAUGAAUGAAACUAAUAACACCAUCAAGAGUCAUAUAUGCUUUAGAAUACAUCAGUGUAUCUCUCAGCUGAUCAAAUUGCUUAGGCAAAGACAUUAAGAGCAAGAUGGCCUGAUCUUCGUCUAGAAUCUCUACCAUGACAUUUCCUAGAUCCGUGAUUAUCCUCAAGAAUUCAUCGAUGUUGUUUUCUAUAGACGUGGACUCAUUCAUCUUGAAGCUAUAUAGUUUUUGCUUUAAAUACAUCCUAUUAGGAAGAGACUGAGACAUAUACUGAGCAUCAAGGAUCUUUAACAUACCAACUACUGUUUCCUCCUUGACGAUCUUUCUUAUGACCUUAUUUGUGACACUUGUGAUGAUUGUGCUCCGAACCUUACGCUGCUUCUUUGCGAGUUCUGGAUCUGAUUCUUUCUGCUUGAUAGAAGUUUCCUCAUCCUUUCCUUUACCAGGAUCAAUCUUCGCCUGAGGCUUCAACAGCUCUUGUUCUUGAGCCUGAUAUGCUUCUACAAACUGAGCAAAUCCAGAUUCGCAAAUAGCCUCUCCUUCCACAUGUUAUAAUCGAUCACUCCAUUGAACUUCUCGAUCUCGACUUUAGCGGAAGACAUCGCGAAAGAGAAGAACAAUCUUCGACGACUCCAGAAAUGAGAUCAACGACCUAGAGAACCUGGCUCUGAUACCACUUGUUGCGAUUUCACUCUAUAAAUCUCACCACUGAUCAAUCCUCGCAAUCGAUUUUACUUGUGACUAUAACUAAACACGAGAUAAAGAAUUUGCAGAAAGUAAAUGGCACAAGAGAUUUAUCCAGUUCGGAAGCUAAACCGCUACCCUACGUCUGGCCGAGGAUUCCUCGGAAUUCACUAAGCACCACCGUACAAACGUUCUAUCUCUCACCGGAAAACCCCGAGAAACAAUUUCACUCACCGGAAAAUCUCUCUUCUGUUUUCCCUCGAUUACAAUUGUUCUCUCUCUAGGAUACAACUGAAUCUCUCUCUCUAGCUCUCGUCGUUCACCGAUUACACUAAUACAAGUCCAAUUUCUGAAUCUAACAACCUCUAACUGAUUCAGCAAUUGAGCUCACGUGCUAAUGGUCUGGACUGAGCUCGAGAAGAUAUUUUCCUCAUCAAGAAGACGACUGAGAACGACGACGUUUGCACUUUAAUCGAACCCGCAGUAAACCGAAAUCAAACCUCCUGAUUUCUGCAUUGGUUCAGAUCAAGUUCCUAAACCGGAACCUUCUACUUCAGCUAGCUGGUUUUGUU
This 5445-nucleotide long non-coding RNA is filed under the name Eutrema salsugineum. RNAcentral describes it as "long non-coding RNA (ESAL_LNC001409)". Lineage: Eukaryota; Viridiplantae; Streptophyta; Magnoliopsida; Brassicales; Brassicaceae. The record is from RNAcentral.